RNAcentral lists this ribosomal RNA (253 nucleotides) under uncultured bacterium. RNAcentral describes it as "partial 16S ribosomal RNA". It matches the Rfam family "Bacterial small subunit ribosomal RNA", at positions 524 to 776 of the family's 1533-position model. The record is from RNAcentral.
UACGUAGGGGGCAAGCGUUGUUCGGAAUUACUGGGCGUAAAGGGCGCGUAGGCGGCACGGCAAGUCAGGAGUGAAAGCCCGGGGCUCAACCCCGGAAUGUCUUUUGAAACUGCCGAGCUAGAGUGCGGAAGAGGCAACUGGAAUUCCCAGUGUAGCGGUGAAAUGCGUAGAUAUUGGGAAGAACACCUGAGGCGAAGGCGUGUUGCUGGGCCGACACUGACGCUGAGGCGCGAAAGCCAGGGGAGCGAACGGG